UGCCCUGCUUGAACUUCUUGAAGAAGGCUGAA
Molecule: non-coding RNA, 32 nt
Filed under: Mus musculus (house mouse)
Lineage: Eukaryota; Metazoa; Chordata; Mammalia; Rodentia; Muridae
Source: RNAcentral